CUCAGGUGAGUGACUACUGGGGAAUCCCUAGUGUUGUAUGUUUUUGCUAUCUUUACUGUUUCCUUUUAUGACAUUUUGUGGGGCACCUGACAAAGGGCCCGCCUUUUCACCAGACCCAAAUCCGGUUGUUCUUAAGGUGGAUUUUCCUGUUUG
This 153-nucleotide ribosomal RNA is filed under the name Podospora comata. Lineage: Eukaryota; Fungi; Ascomycota; Sordariomycetes; Sordariales; Podosporaceae. The record is from RNAcentral.